CCCUUAGAUGUUCUGGGCCGCACGCGCGCUACACUGAUGCAUUCAACGAGUCUAAAACCUGCUCUGAUAGGGGUGGGUAAUCUUUUGAAUGUGCAUCGUGAUUGGGAUAGAUGAUUGCAAUUUUUCAUCUUCAACGAGGAAUGCCUAGUAAACGCAAGUCAUCAGCUUGCAUUGAUUACGUCCCUGCCCUUUGUACACACCGCCCGUCGCUCCUACCGAUCGAAUGAUCCGAUGAAUAUCAUGGAUUGAGGAUGCAAGUAGGUUCGCCUAUCUUCAUCUUCGAGAAGUGAAGUAAAUCUUAUCAUUUAGAGGAAGGAGAAGUCGUAACA
Molecule: ribosomal RNA, 329 nt
Filed under: uncultured eukaryote
Lineage: Eukaryota
Description: partial 18S ribosomal RNA
Rfam family: Eukaryotic small subunit ribosomal RNA
Source: RNAcentral